Amphiprion ocellaris (clown anemonefish) is the source of this 404-nucleotide long non-coding RNA. The record is from Ensembl. Lineage: Eukaryota; Metazoa; Chordata; Actinopteri; Pomacentridae.
AACAAAGCUGGACGAAGCCAUACUAUCGCAGUGGAACGACCUGUUCUUUGUAGCGAUUAUUAAGUGUUUACACUGCUUAAAGUCUUUUAAAGGCAAUAUGCCAGGUCCCAUAGUUCAGUGCGGGACUGCCACAACGGUACCCGUGGGCUAAAGAAGUGGAUGGAAGAGUUUUGCCCUAUUCACGAGUGCAAUAAAGGAACCUCGCGCUGUCUUAGUGACCCGCCUUAUGUACUCGUCACAUUUCCUACUGAAAGAAAAGAUCCAGAACGUCGUGCCGAAUGGAUUAAAUUAACCAAAGAACAACAGACUCUUCACAACCUGCUCAAACUCUUGGUACAGGACCUCACCACACGGAUCAAGAAGGUUUCCGUCUCAUUUCUACUCUGAAGCUCACCUUCUCCUGC